GACGAACGCUGGCGGCGUGCUUAACACAUGCAAGUCGAACGGAAAGGCCCUGCUUUUGUGGGGUGCUCGAGUGGCGAACGGGUAAGUAACACGUGAGUAACCUGCCCUUGACUUUGGGAUAACUUCAGGAAACUGGGGCUAAUACCGGAUAGGAGCUCCUGCUGCAUGGUGGGGGUUGGAAAGUUUCGGCGGUUGGGGAUGGACUCGCGGCUUAUCAGCUUGUUGGUGGGGUAGUGGCUUACCAAGGCUUUGACGGGUAGCCGGCCUGAGAGGGUGACCGGCCACAUUGGGACUGAGAGACGGCCCAGACACCUACGGGAGGCAGCAGUGGGGAAGAUUGCACAAUGGGCGGAGGCCGAGUGCAGCAACGCCGCGUGCGGGAUAACGGCCUUCGGGUUGUAAACCACUUUCGCCUGUGACGAAGCGUGAGUGACGGUAAUGGGUAAAGAAGCACCGGCUAACUACGUG
Molecule: ribosomal RNA, 468 nt
Filed under: uncultured bacterium
Lineage: Bacteria
Description: partial 16S ribosomal RNA
Rfam family: Bacterial small subunit ribosomal RNA
Source: RNAcentral